CCUACGGGAGGCAGCAGUGAGGAAUAUUGGUCAAUGGACGAGAGUCUGAACCAGCCAAGUAGCGUGAAGGAUGACUGCCCUAUGGGUUGUAAACUUCUUUUAUAUGGGAAUAAAAUGUUCCACGUGUGGGAUUUUGUAUGUACCAUAUGAAUAAGGAUCGGCUAACUCCGUGCCAGCAGCCGCGGUAAUACGGAGGAUCCGAGCGUUAUCCGGAUUUAUUGGGUUUAAAGGGAGCGUAGGGGGAUUGUUAAGUCAGUGGUGAAAGUUUGCGGCUCAACCGUAAGAUUGCAGUUGAAACUGGCAGUCUUGAGUACAGUAGAGGUGGGCGGAAUUCGUGGUGUAGCGGUGAAAUGCUUAGAUAUCACGAAGAACUCCGAUUGCGAAGGCAGUUCACUGGACUGCAACUGACACUGAGGCUCGAAAGUGUGGGUAUCAAACAGGAUUAGAUACCCUUGUAGUC
RNAcentral lists this ribosomal RNA (460 nucleotides) under uncultured bacterium. RNAcentral's name for it is "partial 16S ribosomal RNA". It matches the Rfam family "Bacterial small subunit ribosomal RNA", at positions 338 to 795 of the family's 1533-position model. The record is from RNAcentral.